GACGAACCGUCCAAACGUUAUUCGGAAUCACUGGGCUUAAAGGGUGCGUAGGCGGCUCGGCAAGUUGGGUGUGAAAGCCCUCGGCUCAACCGAGGAAUUGCGCCCAAAACUGCCGGGCUAGAGGGAGACAGAGGUGAGCGGAACUUAGGGUGGAGCGGUGAAAUGCUUUGAUAUCCUAAGGAACACCGGUAGCGAAAGCGGCUCACUGGGUCUUUGCUGACGCUGAGGCACGAAAGCUAGGGGAGCGAACGGG
This 253-nucleotide ribosomal RNA is filed under the name uncultured bacterium. RNAcentral describes it as "partial 16S ribosomal RNA". It matches the Rfam family "Bacterial small subunit ribosomal RNA", at positions 524 to 776 of the family's 1533-position model. The record is from RNAcentral.